UACGUAGGGUGCGAGCGUUAAUCGGAAUUACUGGGCGUAAAGCGUGCGCAGGCGGUUUUGUAAGUCAGAUGUGAAAUCCCCGGGCUUAACCUGGGAACUGCGUUUGAAACUACAAGGCUAGAGUGUGGCAGAGGGGGGUAGAAUUCCACGUGUAGCAGUGAAAUGCGUAGAGAUGUGGAGGAACACCGAUGGCGAAGGCAGCCCCCUGGGUCAAGACUGACGCUCAUGCACGAAAGCGUGGGGAGCAAACAGG
RNAcentral lists this ribosomal RNA (253 nucleotides) under uncultured bacterium. Its description in RNAcentral is "partial 16S ribosomal RNA". It matches the Rfam family "Bacterial small subunit ribosomal RNA", at positions 524 to 776 of the family's 1533-position model. The record is from RNAcentral.